Molecule: non-coding RNA, 960 nt
Organism: Dermacentor albipictus
Lineage: Eukaryota; Metazoa; Arthropoda; Arachnida; Ixodida; Ixodidae
Source: RefSeq, a predicted model, not a curated record
CAGGUCAGUGACCACGCAUUGCAAUUGGUUUCCUGAGUUACUAAGCAAGGCAAUAUCAUCAGCGAAUAACAAGGUGCUCAUCAUCGCACUGUUCGGCGCAGCUCUGCCCGCUACCAUCUCGGCUGCCCCACAAGCAGCUUCAAUCUGCCUGGAACCGUGCCUUGGCCGUGCCCCUGCUGUCUAUCGCCGAGUCACGCUAGCGCCCCCUACGCUUCCACAAGCGCCGCCUGCGACGAGCGUGAUCAGCCCUACCGCCAGGGAGCUGCCUGCGUCAGCAACAUCUGGCAGAUCGCCUAUAAAAGACCAACGCCUUCACGCGCCAACCUGUGGGCUCAGUGGCUGUGCCACAAUACAGUCCACUAAACUGCUGCUGUUAAACAUGCAGGUGCUCAUCAUCGCACUGAUCGGCGCAGCUCUGCCCGCUACCAUCUCGGCUGCCCCACAAGCAACUUCAAUCUGCCUGGAACCGUGCCUUGGCCGUGCCCCUGCUGUCUAUCGCCGAGUCACGCUAGCGCCCCCUACGCUUCCACUAGCGCCACCUGCGACGAGCGUGAUCAGCCCUACCACCAGGGAGCUGCCUGCGUCAGCAACAUCUGGCAGAUCGCCUAUAAAAGACCAACGCCUUCACGCGCCAACCUGUGGGCUCAGUGGCUGUGCCACAAUACAGUCCACUAAACUGCUGCUGUUUAACAUGCAGUUCGCUCCAUCAUGCACCAUAUGUGCUGGCCCCACUCCCUCGCCAUUCCCUGCGUACAGGGCAUUCCUUGCAAGUAACCCGUCCACGCAGCCGAACUACAACCUUCUCUGCAUCCUUCUUUUGCCGAUCAUCAAGCGACUGGAACGGCCUGCCCCGUCACAUAACCGAAAUCACCUGUUCAACGACGUUUGCUGAUAAGCUUAAUACUAAUAUUCUUCAUUGAACUCAUGUGGCCACCAAUUAAAAUGCACAUUUGUAAACCC